UACGUAGGUGGCAAGCGUUAUCCGGAAUUAUUGGGCGUAAAGGGUGCGUAGGCGGUUUAUUAAGUCUAUGGUGAAAGUGCGGGGCUCAACCCCGUAUGGCCAUAGAAACUAGUAGACUAGAGUGCAGGAGAGGGCAAUGGAAUUCCAUGUGUAGCGGUAAAAUGCGUAGAUAUAUGGAGGAACACCAGUGGCGAAGGCGGUUGCCUGGCCUGUAACUGACGCUGAAGCACGAAAGCGUGGGGAGCAAAUAGG
RNAcentral lists this ribosomal RNA (252 nucleotides) under uncultured bacterium. RNAcentral describes it as "partial 16S ribosomal RNA". It matches the Rfam family "Bacterial small subunit ribosomal RNA", at positions 524 to 776 of the family's 1533-position model. The record is from RNAcentral.